RNAcentral lists this unclassified non-coding RNA (139 nucleotides) under uncultured fungus. Its description in RNAcentral is "sequence contains ITS1". The record is from RNAcentral. Lineage: Eukaryota; Fungi.
UUAACGAUUAAGUUUUUCAGACUGAAGGUUUAUAGUUUGGUCUCCGGCGCCGAAGCGCCGAAGCAACAGGGAAGUAAACAUGGGUUGGAGUUGCCUAAGCAUCUCUGUAAUGAUCCUUCCGCAGGUUCACCUACGGAAA